GGAUAAGGCCAUAAGACGAGAAGACCCUAUGGAGCUUUAGACGCCAGGAUAAAUCAUGUCAAACACCCCUAAACACAGGGUUGAACCAAAUGAAAAUUAUCCCAUGUCUUUGGUUGGGGCGACCACGGGGAAAUAAAAAACCCCCGCGUGGACUGGAAUUAUACAAUUCCACAACUAAGAGCCCCCGCUCUAGUUAACAGUAUCACUGACCAAUGAGAUCCGGCAAAGCCGAUCAACGGACCGAGUUACCCUAGGGAUAACAGCGCAAUCCCCUUUUAGAGCCCAUAUCGACAAGG
This 296-nucleotide ribosomal RNA is filed under the name Lepomis megalotis. RNAcentral's name for it is "partial large subunit ribosomal RNA". It matches the Rfam family "Bacterial large subunit ribosomal RNA", at positions 2072 to 2513 of the family's 2925-position model. The record is from RNAcentral. Lineage: Eukaryota; Metazoa; Chordata; Actinopteri; Centrarchiformes; Centrarchidae.